This is a long non-coding RNA of Hippopotamus amphibius kiboko, 825 nucleotides long. RefSeq lists it as uncharacterized. Lineage: Eukaryota; Metazoa; Chordata; Mammalia; Artiodactyla; Hippopotamidae. The record is from RefSeq and is a predicted model, not a curated record. The transcript has 4 exons.
GUGGCGACACACCCAGGACAGGCCCCGGGGCCCUCCGCAGCGCUGGCGCCGAGCUGAUGACGUAAAAGGGUCAGGCCCGCGGGGCGGAGCUAUUGGGUUUCACCGCCGGACUUCAGUGGCUGCGCGAGCGUUUGUCUUUUCUCCCAGCGCAGCGGACUAGAUUAACGGCGCCAGAGACACCCUGCGGAAGGAGCCGGGGAUAUUGACUAGAGGAGAGCAAGCGGAGGCCGUUGGCGGGUCCUGCGAGCUCCGCUGUGUGCCAAGCCUACUCGACCCUGGAGAAACAGUAGAAAAAAGAUGCGGUACCUGGUCCUGAAUCUUAUUUUCAGGAAAGGGAAGCAGAAAGUAAAGAGAGAAGAACACAGAGUUUGUGGAUGCUAAGAAGAAAGUAAACAGGAUGCUGAGGCAUUGGUUCUCAAAAUGUGGCCACCAGACAGCAGCAUCAGCAUCACCUGGCACUUAGUAGAUGCACAGUAGACGCAAGUGCCGUGAGGACAGGGACCAUCUUAAGCCUAGGAGGCUGCAGAGAAGAUGGGAGGACAGGGGUGAGCACAUAGCUCAGUUCACACGUCACGGCACAGUUGCUGCUGCUCAUCGUCAGAGCCGGAAUACAGGAUCACUUCCCUGGCCGUGAGCCCCACUUCAGCUUGAAGCAACGUGAAACAGAAUAUCCUGUCACUGCCGACGGGCCGUGAAAUCCUUGUCUCCUCCAUGAGGUACAUUUAUUUCAGCUAUAAAAUGAUUAAUUUGUAUACAUGUGUAAAGAUAUAUAUAUAUAAUUAAAUAAUUAGGUUUCCUUGUAUUUCAUUAAAUUCACUAACAUUG